GAGAAAGAGAGGCAGCAGGGUCCGGGUUCACCAGCAAAUUCUUUCCAGUGACACGUGUUAGUACUGACGUCUGGUAAUUUGUGAAGCCAUCAGUGUGGAUCUUCCCUCCAACAGAGCAUAUGAUAACCCAACCACACCUUCUCACUCUUUGAGACUUUUGUCCAGAUCUGACUGCCUACUUUCCUAGCUAGGACACUCUGUUCUAAGGUUUUUCCCAUCUCUGAGUCUACAUUCUAUGACCUGCAUAAAGAUGCCACAGCCACCAAUAGCCAUAACCAAUAACACCUGCUCAGUGAACUCCGGGAACCCAAGGAAGGAAUGGAGGCAACUCGCAUGGACACCCCUGAGGAAGAGACAAGAGGCACAUGCCAGGUGUAUCAAAACACCACCACCACUUCAACUACCAACUCAUUCAAACAUGGAGGGAGAUGGCCUAGGAUCUGAGCCCAAGAACCCCUAGGAAAGGCAAUGUUGAAACCAUUGGCCCUACUUCCAAUCAACUUUCAGCAGCCAUAAUUGUAGGAAUCAACUUUUCUUCAGAUGGGGAUUCCCAUCUCCACCACCACCAUCAUCUCCAGCCAAGUGGCAUUAGUCCAUAGAUGCUGUAGUUCCCCUUUUUUCUUAACUGACAUAGCUAUUGAAGACCUGAAUAGUAAAGUUCUUGCCCCCAAGUCCUUGGCACUGUCAAAUGGUUCAAUGUCAA
Phascolarctos cinereus (koala) is the source of this 703-nucleotide long non-coding RNA. RefSeq lists it as uncharacterized. Lineage: Eukaryota; Metazoa; Chordata; Mammalia; Diprotodontia; Phascolarctidae. The record is from RefSeq and is a predicted model, not a curated record.